UUUCCGUAGGUGAACCUGCGGAAGGAUCAUUAUUGUAUAACCAAGGUGCGAGGCCCUUCGCUGACUCGACAGGUCGUGUACGCCCGAGUGCUCCCCCACACAUCGAUCUCACCCUUUUGUGGAGAACCGCGCGGCUGCUCCCUACGUCUGUUCGGAGGGUGGCUUACGUGGUCAGACAAAUUUUGUCUGCAUUGUAGAAUGUAUUUUUUGCUUGUGCGUGCCCUCAAUUAAGACAACUUUCAACAACGGACCUCCUGGCUUUCGCACCGAUGACGAACG
Molecule: unclassified non-coding RNA, 279 nt
Filed under: plant metagenome
Description: partial contains small subunit ribosomal RNA, internal transcribed spacer 1, and 5.8S ribosomal RNA
Source: RNAcentral